AUACGGAGGGUGCAAGCGUUACUCGGAAUCACUGGGCGUAAAGCGCGCGCAGGCGGCUAUUUAAGUUGGAUGUGAAAGCCUAUGGCUCAACCAUAGAACUGCAUCCAAAACUAUUUAGCUAGAGUGUGGGAGAGGAAGAUGGAAUUAGUUGUGUAGGGGUAAAAUCCGUAGAGAUAACUAGGAAUACCAAAAGCGAAGGCAAUCUUCUGGAACACUACUGACGCUGAGGCGCGAAAGCGUGGGUAGCAAACGGGAUUAGAAACCCUUGUAGUCC
RNAcentral lists this ribosomal RNA (274 nucleotides) under uncultured bacterium. Its description in RNAcentral is "partial 16S ribosomal RNA". It matches the Rfam family "Bacterial small subunit ribosomal RNA", at positions 523 to 796 of the family's 1533-position model. The record is from RNAcentral.